RNAcentral lists this ribosomal RNA (596 nucleotides) under Thodelmus nigrispinosus. RNAcentral describes it as "SSU rRNA". It matches the Rfam family "Eukaryotic small subunit ribosomal RNA", at positions 425 to 937 of the family's 1831-position model. Lineage: Eukaryota; Metazoa; Arthropoda; Insecta; Hemiptera; Reduviidae. The record is from RNAcentral.
GCAGCAGGCACGCAAAUUACCCACUCCCGGCACGGGGAGGUAGUGACAAAAAAUAACGAUACGGGACUCUAUUGAGGCCCCGUAAUCGGAAUGAGUACACUUUAAAUCCUUUAACAAGGAUCCAUUGGAGGGCAAGUCUGGUGCCAGCAGCCGCGGUAAUUCCAGCUCCAAUAGCGUAUAUUAAAGUUGUUGCGGUUAAAAAGCUCGUAGUUGGUUCUGCGUGCCGCGCUGUCGGUUCGCCGCCUGUCGGUGUAACUGGCAUGUCGCGGCAUGUCCUGUCGGUGGUGAACGCAAUGCACCGGUACUUGCUAAGGCAAUAGCCGAAGUAUUGUGUCGUGUGCGAUUACGUUUGCCGAUCUCUCCUACUCCGGUGCUCUUAAACGAGUGUCGAGGUAGGCCGACACGUUCACUUUGAACAAAUUAGAGUGCUUAAAGCAGGCUGAAAUAUCUGCCUGAAUAGUGGUGCAUGGAAUGAUAAAAUAGGACCUCGGUUCUAUUUUGUUGGUUUUAGGAAUAUGAGGUAAUGAUCAAUGUGGACUGGCGGGGGCAUUCGUAUUGCGACGUAAGAGGUGAAAUUCUUGGAUCGUCGCAGAACG